This 82-nucleotide transfer RNA is filed under the name Candidatus Gottesmanbacteria bacterium RBG_13_45_10. RNAcentral describes it as "tRNA-Leu". It matches the Rfam family "tRNA". Rfam says of the family: Transfer RNA (tRNA) molecules are approximately 80 nucleotides in length. Their secondary structure includes four short double-helical elements and three loops (D, anti-codon, and T loops). Further hydrogen bonds mediate the characteristic L-shaped molecular structure. tRNAs have two regions of fundamental functional importance: the anti-codon, which is responsible for specific mRNA codon recognition, and the 3' end, to which the tRNAs corresponding amino acid is attached (by aminoacyl-tRNA synthetases). tRNAs cope with the degeneracy of the genetic code in two manners: having more than one tRNA (with a specific anti-codon) for a particular amino acid; and 'wobble' base-pairing, i.e. permitting non-standard base-pairing at the 3rd anti-codon position. Lineage: Bacteria; Candidatus Gottesmaniibacteriota. The record is from RNAcentral.
GCUCUGGUGCUGGAAUUGGUAGACAGGCACGCUUCAGGAGCGUGUGUCGUAAGACGUGAGAGUUCGAGUCUCUCCCAGAGCA